Molecule: RNA transcript, 3253 nt
Organism: Mercurialis annua (annual mercury)
Lineage: Eukaryota; Viridiplantae; Streptophyta; Magnoliopsida; Malpighiales; Euphorbiaceae
Gene name: lysine--tRNA ligase, cytoplasmic-like
Exons: 19
Source: RefSeq, a predicted model, not a curated record
UAAAAAUAAAAAAACACUCACAAAUCAGCAAUUGUAAGGGACAAUUAAGGGAAGCACAAAACACUGAAGAAAAACAUAAACCCUAGCCCCUAUCUGACAAUAUAAACACGUUGAAUCGGUUCAGUCAACAGUUCUUUAAUUUUCCUGCUGAAAAGAGGUGAAAGCAAUUGGAGCGGAGCAAAAAUGGAAGAUUUAGCUGAAGCAAUUUCUAAUUUAGCACCGGCUGAAAAAGAAUCUCAAACAACAGUUCACCGAGGCUCCGGUCGCCGGCUCCACUGUCUUCAGGUCACCAGCUCACGAACAACAUCAGAGAAUUCUAAUAAGAGGGAACUUGAAAUAAAACAGGAGGAAGAUAGAUGUUUUAAGGCUGCCGGCAAUACACAAGGUCAGAAUUCUGCAGCAGCUGAUGAUGAUUAUAUAGACCCUACGCAAUAUUUUGAGAGCAACAAAGCCUACCUGGCUUCUCUGAAGGCUGAAGGAAAAAAUCCAUAUCCUCACAACUUCUAUGUUACCUUUUCAAUUGAACAUUACCCAGAAUAUUAUGAAAGGUUAAUUAUUGGAGAGCAUCUUGAGAAUCUCACUGUAUCUAUGGCUGGCCGAUUCAUGAAAAGCAGACAAUCCUCCGCAAACAUUUUUUUUUAUGAUUUGCACGACGAUGCUGUUAAGGUUCAAGUCACGAUCGAUACCAGCAAAUCAGGCAUGGACGGCGCUGAACUUCUUUCCAACUUGAAGCAUGGCGAUAUUGUUGGCGUCACCGGCAUCCUAGGAAAAACGGGAACAAGAAAGCUGAGUAUCUCUCCAACAUCUUUGGUGGUUUUAUCUCACUGUCUUCGCAUGCUUCCAAAGGACUUAAAAGAUCCGGAAACUCGCUAUUGUCAACGCUAUCUGGAUCUUAUUUUAAAUUCGGAGGUUCGAGAGAUUUUCAAGACCAGAUCAAGGAUCAUAACAUAUAUUAGAAGCUUUCUUGACAGUCUCGAUUUCUUAGAGGUUGAGACACCCGUGAUGAACAUGUUUGCCGGGGGAGCUGCUGCUCGCCCUUUUGUGACUCAUCACAAUGAACUAAACAUGAGGCUGUACUUGCGUAUGUCUCCGGAGCCUCGCCUUAUAGAGUUAGUUGUUGGUGGUAUUAACCUUGUAUACGAGAUUGGAAGACAAUUUAGGAAUGAGGGUAUCGAUUCGACUCACAAUCCUGAAUUUACAACCUGUGAGUUUUAUAUGGCCUUUUCGGAUUACGACGACGUAAUGGAACUAACUGAGAAAUUAUUGCGUGAAAUGGUGCAGGAGAUUACGGGUGGCUACAAGGUUAAAUAUCUCGCGAAUGGGCUUGACAAUAAUCCAAUUGAGAUUGACUUUACGCCACCUUUUAGAAAAAUUGACAUGAUAAAUGAGUUGGAGAAGAUGGCCAAUCUAAACAUACCAAAGGAUCUGGCCAGUGAUGAAGCUAGUAAGUAUCUUGCGGCCGCAUGUCAGAGGUUUGAGGUCAAGUGUCUUCCUCCACAGACAACUGCCCGCAUGUUGGAUAAACUGGUUGGGCACUUUCUUGUUGGAACCUGUGUUAAUCCUACUUUUAUCAUCAACCAUCCCGAGGUCAUGAGUCCUUUGGCAAAAAGGCAUAGAUCAAGACCAGGCUUGGCUGAAUGUUUUGAAUUGUUUGUAAACAAGCAGAAGCUUUGCAAUGGAUACACGGUGUUGAAUGACCCUAUGGAAGUACGGGAGCGAUUUGCUGAACAACUCAAGGGCCGGCAGUCAGGUGAAGAUGAAUCUAUGGCUUUUGAUGAAACAUUUUGCACUGCUCUCGAGUAUGGGUUACCUCCAACUGGUGGCUGUCAAUGGGGCAUUGACCCACUCGCUAUGAUACUAACCGAUUCACAGGAUAUCAAGGAGGUAAUACUGUUCCCAUUCAUGAAGCAUCAACAUGAACACGAACAUCCCGAUCCUACCAAAGCAGCUUCUCUUAUUGCUUCGUGCGAAAAACAGAUCCAGAGUUAGGGAGAUUUCGACGAAGACGACAUUAGUCACCGGUGCUACCAUCGCCGGCGCUCCAACUGCCGCCGCUCUUUAUAUUUCUCAUCGAUGGUUUUUUUAUGUUGAUGGGAUUCAAUUGGGGAGCCACAUCGGUGGAUGCACUCACUGUGUCUUCUUCUUCAACAAAUAAUCACAUGUUAUUGUCAUGGAUAUUCCCUCCUCGACUCUGUUUCUUGCCAUCAAUUGUCCAAUUCUUUGCUUCCAUCCCCCAUAGCUUCUCACUCUUUCAACUUUCUCUCUGAUUGCUUGGUUUUGUUCGGUGGUGGCUGUGAGGGAGUAAGGUGAAUGAUUCAAUCCAGUGUUAGUUAAAGAAGUGGGUAUGGCAGUAAUGACUGAUGAUUGCAAGGAUUUCUAUUAGGCUUCAAGAACAGUAAAAAGACUCAAUUGUUUAUCAUUUUUUUUGGUGGGAUUUUGCAGUUUGGCGGUUGUGACAUUCCCUUUGCACCACUCCAUGUAGAUAUGAAGGUCCCAUUUGUAUUGCUCUUGGUUUGCUUCUACUUUUGUGGUUGAUAGCAAUUUGGUUCAAUGUGGGCAUCAUAGUUUGUUUUCAAGUAAAAGGAAUAUAUUGUUGUAUGGAAAAUCAAAAUCAUUGUCCUCUCUUGGUCUGAAACUAAUCAUUAAACUACAGUCCUUUGCAGUUGCAGCUAUCAAAUAGUCCCUUGCAUUUUUCAAGCUUUCGUGCAUGGAAAUAGAAUGCAAGGAGGCAUACUUAUGUGGCAGUCCUGCUUCAGCCAAUUCUCUACACACCAUACAUAAAAUUCCAUAUAUAUUGAUGAAUAAAUUCCAUAUCUUAAGAAAAACGUAUGUACAUAUAAUUUACCCAAUGAUAAAAAAAAAUGGACACUGCAUGCAAUUGGGGACCAAAUGGCUCACUCAUGGAGUGCUAAAAUAUCUUAUAUACAUGCAUCAAAAUAUCUCUACACACCAUGCAAUGCUGAAAAUGAUGUUAUAGUAAGCGUGAAUUGCUCCUUCAAUAUCAAAACUAUCAAGCUUUUUUGGACUAUAUAAGAGAACCAUUCAUGAAGACACGAAAAUUGUUUUGAGGAUUAUUUAUUUUUUUGUUGCUAGUUAACUAAUGGUGUACUAAUGAUUCGCCAAUAAUUUUAUUUUUAGUGUAUUGUCGGUAGACGUUUGGUUAACUGUUGGUAAAUGUGUAAUAAUUUUUAUUUUGAAUAUAUAGUUAUAAGGUGUAGUAUUUUGUGUAAAAAAGUCUAUUGGCCUUUUUAUA